GGUGACUCAGUGGUAGAGUGUUUGCCUUGCAUGCAUGAGACUCUGGGUUCAAUUUCUCUGCACCA
Non-coding RNA from Dipodomys ordii (Ord's kangaroo rat), 65 nucleotides. NCBI's taxonomy places the organism in Eukaryota, Metazoa, Chordata, Mammalia, Rodentia, Heteromyidae. The record is from Rfam.